GAGGUGUGAGGCCUGGGUAGAGCUAUGGGAGUUGGGAGGUAGAGCUGUGGGAGGUGUGAGGCCUGGGUAGAGCUAUGGGAGUUGGGAGGUAGAGCUGUGGGAGGUGCGAGGCC
Long non-coding RNA from Haliotis rufescens (red abalone), 113 nucleotides. RefSeq lists it as uncharacterized. The transcript has 3 exons. The record is from RefSeq and is a predicted model, not a curated record. Lineage: Eukaryota; Metazoa; Mollusca; Gastropoda; Lepetellida; Haliotidae.